CAGUCGCCGCGGGAAUACGGAGGGUGCAAGCGUUAAUCGGAAUUACUGGGCGUAAAGCGCACGCAGGCGGUUUGUUAAGUCAGAUGUGAAAUCCCCGAGCUUAACUUGGGAACUGCAUUUGAAACUGGCAAGCUAGAGUCUUGUAGAGGGGGGUAGAAUUCCAGGUGUAGCGGUGAAAUGCGUAGAGAUGUGGAGGAACACCGAUGGCGAAGGCGGCCAUCUGGGACAACACUGACGCUGAGGCACGAAAGCGUGGGGAGCAAGCAGGAUUAGAUACCCCGGUAGUCCCUGUCUCUUAUAC
This 301-nucleotide ribosomal RNA is filed under the name uncultured bacterium. RNAcentral's name for it is "partial 16S ribosomal RNA". It matches the Rfam family "Bacterial small subunit ribosomal RNA", at positions 509 to 807 of the family's 1533-position model. The record is from RNAcentral.